UUUGGUUUAGGUAGGCUAUGAAAUUUGAACAAAGGUUUUUGGUUCAGAGUACAUGAAAUCAUUCUCUCACUACGUUUCUUUUCUAUUAUUCCUGUAGGGUUAUGCAAUCCUCUUUCCCUUUUAUCUAUAGCGAAUGUAGCAUCUUUCAAAAGCUGUUCUUUUAUUGUUUUUCGCUUUUCUCUUUCUUUCUUUUCAUGUUGUUGUUUUUUUUUUCUUUUUUCUCUUUUCUUUUUUUUUUCUCUUUUUUUUUCUUUUUCUUUCU
RNAcentral lists this long non-coding RNA (262 nucleotides) under Lathyrus oleraceus (garden pea). Its description in RNAcentral is "Pisum sativum (pea) long non-coding RNA (PSAT_LNC008217)". The record is from RNAcentral. Lineage: Eukaryota; Viridiplantae; Streptophyta; Magnoliopsida; Fabales; Fabaceae.